ACGGAAGGCAGCAGUGGGGAAUAUUGCACAAUGGGGGAAACCCUGAUGCAGCGACGCCGCGUGAAGGAUGAAGUAUUUCGGUAUGUAAACUUCUAUCAGCAAGGAAGAAAUUGACGGUACUUGACUAAGAAGCCCCGGCUAAAUACGUGCCAGCAGCCGCGGUAAUACGUAUGGGGCAAGCGUUAUCCGGAUUUACUGGGUGUAAAGGGUGCGUAGGUGGUAAGGCAAGUCAGAAGUGAAAGCUCGGGGCUCAACCUCGGAACUGCUUUUGAAACUGUCUAACUAGAGUGCAGGAGAGGUAAGUGGAAUUCCUAGUGUAGCGGUGAAAUGCGUAGAUAUUAGGAGGAACACCAGCGGCGAAGGCGGCUUACUGGACUGUAACUGACACUGAGGCACGAAAGCGUGGGGAGCAAACAGGAUUAGAUACCCUGGUA
RNAcentral lists this ribosomal RNA (434 nucleotides) under uncultured Lachnospiraceae bacterium. RNAcentral's name for it is "bacterial SSU rRNA". It matches the Rfam family "Bacterial small subunit ribosomal RNA", at positions 341 to 792 of the family's 1533-position model. The record is from RNAcentral. Lineage: Bacteria; Bacillati; Bacillota; Clostridia; Lachnospirales; Lachnospiraceae.